RNAcentral lists this ribosomal RNA (301 nucleotides) under uncultured bacterium. RNAcentral's name for it is "partial 16S ribosomal RNA". It matches the Rfam family "Bacterial small subunit ribosomal RNA", at positions 509 to 807 of the family's 1533-position model. The record is from RNAcentral.
CAGCAGCCGCGGUAAUACGAAGGGUGCAAGCGUUACUCGGAAUUACUGGGCGUAAAGCGUGCGUAGGUGGUGGUUUAAGUCCGUUGUGAAAGCCCUGGGCUCAACCUGGGAAUUGCAGUGGAUACUGGGUCACUAGAGUGUGGUAGAGGAUAGUGGAAUUUCCGGUGUAGCAGUGAAAUGCGUAGAGAUCUGGAGGAAUACCGAUGGCGAAGGCAGCCAUCUGGCCUAAUACUGACGCUGAGGUACGAAAGCAUGGGGAGCAAACAGGAUUAGAUACCCCAGUAGUCCCUGUCUCUUAUAC